This 253-nucleotide ribosomal RNA is filed under the name uncultured prokaryote. RNAcentral describes it as "partial 16S ribosomal RNA". It matches the Rfam family "Bacterial small subunit ribosomal RNA", at positions 525 to 777 of the family's 1533-position model. The record is from RNAcentral.
ACGGAGGGGGCUAGCGUUGCUCGGAAUUACUGGGCGUAAAGGGCGCGUAGGCGGUUUUGUAAGACAGAGGUGAAAUCCCCGGGCUCAACCUGGGAACUGCCUUUGUGACUGCAAGGCUGGAGUGCGGCAGAGGGGGAUGGAAUUCCGCGUGUAGCAGUGAAAUGCGUAGAUAUGCGGAGGAACACCGAUGGCGAAGGCAAUCCCCUGGGCCUGCACUGACGCUCAUGCACGAAAGCGUGGGGAGCAAACAGGA